Molecule: long non-coding RNA, 2517 nt
Filed under: Zea mays
Lineage: Eukaryota; Viridiplantae; Streptophyta; Magnoliopsida; Poales; Poaceae
Description: long non-coding RNA (ZMAY_LNC000640)
Source: RNAcentral
AGUUUUGUUGUUUCUGCUCGAAAGUGGUGCCAAAGCAGGAGAAAAAUCAGUAAACUUGUUGCGGGAGGAUGUUUUACCUCCCUGUUAUGCAAUAAUAAGUUAUGCACUCAUACACCCGGUGUUGUAAUAAAUACUCUCUCUAUAUUUUAUGAAUGUAAAUUAUGUUAUUGUAAUCCGUUUCUGCUUAUUCUUUACUCCGAUUAUGUGUGUAAUGUCUGCGUGAUGGGUGAAGUGCUCUUGGACGAUAUGAUAAAGAUACAGAUGACCGAACUUGUCGAGUAAUUAUGUGCAUCUACAUGGUUGUCUGAGGUCCUUAAGACAAGGGCAUCUAUAGGUGGGCCUAAUACCUUGGGAGGUUCCGUGACAGCUGAAGCUGAGCAUUGCUUUUAUAAGUUGGUCAAAAUUUUAUUAGCAGUUACUAAGUGUAAGUAAAACCAAACCAUAGUAAUAAUAAAUCAAAGUAAUAAAUUAUCCCAAUGCGAUGCAAAUGAUAAAUUAAAUUUAAUUCCAUAAAUUAAUCAUGUGAGGGUCCGAGCUGCUCAUGACCGUGAGCACGGCUGAUAUAGCAGUUUUACACUCUGUAGAUGUUGCACAUCUUUACCCACAAGUCAUGUUACCCAUCUACCAAGGGGUCAUGAAUCCCAUACGCCUCUACCAAGGAAGCGAGACAGGGUAACACUACGAGGCCUUUACAAAGUUCCAUUAGUUUCAGAAAACCCGCUACAGUUUCUAGGAAGCUCCAAUGCAGGGGCCCCUCGCCUGGCCGCCAUCGCAGCAAAAUCAACCCAAGGGCCUCCCUACACUGACCACUCCUCUACUGCCCUUGCCCCUUUCAGGUAAGGUAGUCCUCCACUAGCUUUCCUAAUUAGUCAGCCAAGGGCGUCCCAUACCACUCUUGUGGUAGCACUGCUUUCCCGGGUGGUCGAUCCAUAUUCCAAUUAACAUAAUGAUCUUAUCAUGAACAGUAAAUAACAAACUGAUAAUAAAAGUGAUCAUGAAUAAUGUGUAUCUCCAUACCCAAAACCACAUAAAGCAAUAGCAAGUACUACCCAAAAAGUUCAGUGGAAUCAAGGUAUAAAGAUAGUCAAACUAGGGUCACCUAAAGGGUCCCAUCAACAUUAACCUAUGCACAUCAUUAUGAUUAAUAAGAACAUGAAUGGGUAAAAAGAAGUGAUCAAGGGCACAACUUGCCUUCAAAGAGCUCCUACUCAGCAGUCUCCACCUACUGAACCCCUGGAUCCUCUAUAACUUGCUCGUCUACUCGCAACAAUACAACAAACAUGGUAUAGCAAAAUUAACAUCACACCAAACAACAGAUCAAAAUGUACGAUAAUAUUCUACGCUGCGUAACAAGAUCGUAGGAACAAGAAUUACUAAAUUUGGAAUUACGGUUAUUUAGUUAUGAAUUUCUAAAGUUAUUUAGCACUUAGAAUAGAUUAAUUCAAGUGAACAGUUUUAUUCCAAGUUACAUGGCUAAACAAUGUUACUAGUUGAUAUAAAAUAUUAAUACAAAAUUAUUGCAACUGGAAUGGGUCAAUUUAGAGCUAAAAUGAAUUAAAUAUGAAUUAUACAAGUUUCUAGAAUUAUUUUUGUAUUAAAAAUCAAUUUCUAUAAUUAAUUUUCUAUUUUCAUUGCUCUCUGGACCGCGCGUCAAAUACUAAAAAGUGCAGGGGCUAACUCGCAAAAGUUCCUAAGACUCAGGUUAACACAUGGAAGGACUGCGGGUUGAUUUUAUAAAAACAGAGGGUCUCUUAAGUAAGUUUGGCACUGCGAAGGGGUACCGACUGUUCUAAGUCGUCCGAUUGCGCGCCAGAGGUCAGGACUAGAUCACCGAGGCAUCACGACCGGUAUACACCCGCAGCCAUCGGAUCGAAUCACGACGACCAUGAUUUUAUUUAGCCCGAACGGUGCACAUGCCUGAUCCGAGCCGUCUAUUUACACUUCGAUGAUCAAGAUUCUAAUGAAUCCAAGGGAUAUGCCUUAACCUAAUCACCACCGUUGAUUCAUAACCAACGACCCUAGAUCAAACUCGAGGCGAAUGAUCAACCUCGGAUCAGGACCGUUCGCUGGAGUAUCAACGAUACUCCAACCGUCCCUGACCUCCCACAUGGAGCAUGAUGGCGCAAAUUCCCCACCCCGCCAACGGACACACCGGAGACACGAAUUGGCCCCUGGAUCGACCCAACUUUCACGUCCACCGAUAACAACCCCCAUGGAGGUAAGUGCAAAAUAGAUGUAUGGCAGAUUUACCGUAUCCCAGGAAGGUGGUGCUCCAAUUCCUGUGAUGUGGCGGUCCCAUGGUGCCUCUGGGUCGCCGACGAGCAAUCACAACGCUACUCCUACGAUCACCCCGAGGAAAGCAAUGGGAACCUUCCCACACAACACAGCCAAUCACCCGGACACGCAACCCGAGACACGACGCCGGCAUAAGGCCUUCCCUCUCCCCAGCCCGCGGCAAAUCUUGAUGUGCAGUAAUGACUACCGGUUCUUGGGUCCGGAAUGGUGGUUGAGGAAGAA